UCACUUUGUUGUGCUAUUUGCAGA
RNAcentral lists this non-coding RNA (24 nucleotides) under Arabidopsis thaliana (thale cress). Lineage: Eukaryota; Viridiplantae; Streptophyta; Magnoliopsida; Brassicales; Brassicaceae. The record is from RNAcentral.